UACAGAGGGGGCAAGCGUUGUUCGGAAUUACUGGGCGUAAAGGGCGCGUAGGUGGCCUUCUAAGUUGAACGUGAAAUCCCUGGGCUCAACCCAGGAACUGCGUCCAAGACUGGGAGGCUUGAAUCCGGGAGAGGGACGCGGAAUUCCAGGUGUAGCGGUGAAAUGCGUAGAUAUCUGGAGGAACACCGGUGGCGAAGGCGGCGUCCUGGACCAACACUGACACUGAGGAGCGAAAGCCAGGGGAGCAAACGGG
Molecule: ribosomal RNA, 253 nt
Filed under: uncultured bacterium
Lineage: Bacteria
Description: partial 16S ribosomal RNA
Rfam family: Bacterial small subunit ribosomal RNA
Source: RNAcentral